Molecule: ribosomal RNA, 435 nt
Filed under: uncultured bacterium
Lineage: Bacteria
Description: partial 16S ribosomal RNA
Rfam family: Bacterial small subunit ribosomal RNA
Source: RNAcentral
GAUGAACGCUGGCGGUAUGCUUAACACAUGCAAGUCGAACGGACUCUUCGGAGUUAGUGGCGGACGGGUGAGUAACGCGUGAGAAUCUGGCUUUGGGUUCGGGACAACCACUGGAAACGGUGGCUAAUACCGGAUGUGCCGAGAGGUAAAGGAGAAAUUGCCUGAAGAUGAGCUCGCGUCCGAUUAGCUAGUUGGUGAGGUAAAGGCUCACCAAGGCAGCGAUCAGUAGCUGGUCUGAGAGGAUGACCAGCCACACUGGGACUGAGACACGGCCCAGACUCCUACGGGAGGCAGCAGUGGGGAAUUUUCCGCAAUGGGCGAAAGCCUGACGGAGCAAUACCGCGUGAGGGAAGAAGGCUCUUGGGUUGUAAACCUCUUUUCUUAGGGAAGAACAAAAUGACGGUACCUAAGGAAUCAGCAUCGGCUAACUCCGUG